CCACAAGGGUUUUGAGACCAGCUCACUAUUGACUUCAGGCUUGUGGGCCUGCUCUCCUUCCACAAGAAUCUUAGGUUUGCAACUGAGAGGCAGCCAUAUGGAGCCUGUGUGCAACACAUGUAUGUAGUGCAAGUAACGCACGUGAGUGCCACACUGGCCCUGGAGCCUUUGUGGGGUCAGUGGUCGGCCCCAGCACCUCAGCUAGGUAUCCGCUUUCAGUUUUGUGCUCACCUCUUACGGCAGGAGUAGGGAGGACUGCCUGUUCUUUGACUGGCUUUCCAGGUGAAGUCAGGCUUUUGUCUCAUGCUUCUAGGGAAGGUCUGAAGCAUAGUCCAUGCAUCUAAAAAGCGAGUGUUGACAAGUACAGAAGCAGCUGCCACCAGACUGAUCUCAAACACAUGGAAUUUUCACGUAAAUUCUUAAUGUUUCAUAUUGUUAAUAUCUUAAAAUUUUGUUAAUUGUUAAUGAAGGCCUUAUUACUAUUUUCAGAUUCUUUCAAUAAAUAAACUUGUUUU
This 515-nucleotide long non-coding RNA is filed under the name Rattus norvegicus (Norway rat). RNAcentral describes it as "long non-coding RNA NONRATT022921". The record is from RNAcentral. Lineage: Eukaryota; Metazoa; Chordata; Mammalia; Rodentia; Muridae.